GACAAACGCUGGCGGGGUGCAUGAGACAUGCAAGUCGAACGGGGUUGAUCGGGCUUGCUCGAUCAACCUAGUGGCGGACGGCUGAGUAACGCGUAGGCGACCUGCCCGGAAGUGGGGAAUAACUGCCCGAAAGGGUGGCUAAUACCGCAUGUGGUCGGCGAUUCGGUUCGUCGAUCAAAGCCGCAAGGCGCUUCCGGAGGGGCCUGCGUCCGAUUAGCUAGUUGGUGAGGUAAUGGCCCACCAAGGCGACGAUCGGUAGCUGGUCUGAGAGGAUGAU
Molecule: ribosomal RNA, 277 nt
Filed under: uncultured bacterium
Lineage: Bacteria
Description: partial 16S ribosomal RNA
Rfam family: Bacterial small subunit ribosomal RNA
Source: RNAcentral